AGCCGGUCCACAUCAAGAACCAAAUGAUCACCCAUUUAUUUAUUUGUACAAUUAGGGAGCCUGAGAUAGCCCUAUCAAACACAAACACAACAAAGAUAUAAUCUUUCUCGAAAUGCAAGAACCCAAACAAGAAAAGCUCGAGACAGCUUAUAAAUCACAAAAACAGACAAAGAUACAAUCUUUUUCUCAAAAUGCAAGUUCCCAAAACAACGAAAAGCCUGAGAAACCCUUCUGAAUAAAACUCAACAAAUAUAAAACCUUUUUGUCAAAAUACAAGAACCCAAAACAUAGAAAAACCUGAGAAAGCCCUCUGAAUCACAAACACAGCAAAGAUACAAUCUUUUUCUCUAAAUUUCUCUAAAUGCAAGUUCCCAAACAAAAAAAAGCCUGAGACACAGCUCUAUUAAUCACAAACACAACAAAGAUACAAUCUUUUUCUCGAAAUGCAAGUACCCAAACAAAGAAAAGCCUGAGAUAAGCUCUACAAAUCAAAUGCACAGCAAAGCUAUGAUCUUUUUCUCAGAAUGCUUGAACCCAGAACAAAUAAAAAAGAAAUAAUUACACCCAAAUAAAGAAAGAGGAUAAAACAAGAAACAAGAAGGGAGAUUAAAUUUAUAAUCGAUGAAAGUACCUGGGAAUGAAUGAAAGAAACAGAUAAACGGGGAAGGAGACAAGAAGCGCGUUGGGGCCCACGGAGAAAGGGUCUUUUUCUUCUUGUUAAAACGUAUUUUAUCCUCCCUCUCUCUCUCUAAAAAAGAAGGAAGAUCACUUCACCUUUUUGUCAUUCCGCGUUUGUCAUCCUUUUAUAUUCACCCUCUUGCCAUGACCUCUAAU
RNAcentral lists this long non-coding RNA (834 nucleotides) under Daucus carota (carrot). RNAcentral's name for it is "long non-coding RNA (DCAR_LNC001430)". The record is from RNAcentral. Lineage: Eukaryota; Viridiplantae; Streptophyta; Magnoliopsida; Apiales; Apiaceae.